UAGGGAAUCUUCCACAAUGGACGCAAGUCUGAUGGAGCAACGCCGCGUGAGUGAAAAAGGUUUUCGGAUCGUAAAGCUCUGUUGUUGGUGAAGAAGGAUAGAGGUAGUAACUGGCCUUUAUUUGACGGUAUCAACCAGAAAGUCACUGCUAACUACGUGCCAGCAGCCGCGGUAAUACGUAGGUGGCAAGCGUUGUCCGGAUUUAUUGGGCGUAAAGCGAGCGCAGGCGGAAGAAUAAGUCUGAUGUGAAAGCCCUCGGCUUAACCGAGGAACUGCAUGGGAAACUGUGUUUCUUGAGUGCAGAAGAGGAGAGUGGAAUUCCAUGUGUAGCGGUGGAAUGCGUAGAUAUAUGGAAGAACACCAGUGGCGAAGGCGACUCUCUGGUCUGCAACUGACGCUGAGGCUCGAAAGCAUGGGUAGCGAACAGG
Molecule: ribosomal RNA, 428 nt
Filed under: bacterium
Lineage: Bacteria
Description: partial 16S ribosomal RNA
Rfam family: Bacterial small subunit ribosomal RNA
Source: RNAcentral